CUGCAAUGAUGACCAUCUUAGGACACCUUUCGAUUAAUCAUGAAAACAAUUUUUUUUAGUCUGAGCUGC
RNAcentral lists this small nucleolar RNA (69 nucleotides) under Callorhinchus milii (elephant shark). Its description in RNAcentral is "Small nucleolar RNA SNORD58 (ENSCMIG00000013957.1)". It matches the Rfam family "Small nucleolar RNA SNORD58". Rfam says of the family: snoRNA U58 is found in introns 1, 3 and 6 of the ribosomal protein RPL17 gene in humans. U58 is a member of the C/D class of snoRNA which contain C (UGAUGA) and D (CUGA) box motifs. Lineage: Eukaryota; Metazoa; Chordata; Chondrichthyes; Chimaeriformes; Callorhinchidae. The record is from Rfam by way of RNAcentral.